UCUGAGUCCAUCCUGCAAGCUGAAUAUAACUUUGCCAUGAGCGAAUACAGAGAUGUGUUUCCAAUGAAAUUCAAACUUUGUGUAUGGGCUCUGGAGUAUCUCAACACCCAAGGCGCUGAGGACAUGGCUUGACAGGUGUAUGCAGUGGUCUGCACAACAGCAGAAGGCAAGCAGCGGCACAAUGUGCCCAUUCAAGCCUGGAAGGAAACAACCAAGAUAUCACAGGACCCCUGUGAGAAGGAGCCGGUCAUCUCGGGGCACAUCAACCUUUCACUGUGACUACAAAGGAAGACAUAACUACGACUGCUUAAAGAGCAAUGGUACCAUGUGACCUUGUAUAAGUCCAGAGUCAUCCACAUGAGCAGAGGCAGACAGAUCUCCUGCAGGCAUUGAGGUGACACAGCCAGCCUCUAAUACCCAGAUGAUGUAUGGAUGUUGUAUGGCACCACUCAGCCAGCAGAGCCAGUCAACAGCAUAAGGCUGAGGAAUGCUGAGGAGAGACAAUAGCCCUGAACAUUGCUGCGGAAUGACAAACCUCAAUGAGGGAAGUGAAGGAAGGCACCGAGCUAAAAAAAAAAAACUGUUAUUUAAAUUUUAAAUAUGUUAAUUAAGCUGGAAUGAAACAUCGAGUUGACAAGAGAAAUGAUACAGCUUAAACAAAAAUUACAUUAGAAUAAAUUUCCGCAACACUGCACAGAAAAGUAAUAAAACACUAUUAUUCUACUUUUAAAUAAUCAAAUAAAUGUGUGUAAUCAAGUCCAGGUUUGAGUAGUUCUUUUUCAAAGGUGGAAAUAAAAGCUGUAUGUAUGAAUCCUCUGUUCACUUUACUAUUGAGCAGAUCAGGUUUAACAAGUGGGGUAUUUUGAAUUAGGAAGAUCAGGGUCAGGGUUCAGCCCUCUGUUUAUUUUUAGUUUCUUUUUAAUUUUGUGUCUUUGUAGUUUUCUAGCAGUGUUGUGUUUUUGAGUUACUCUCUGUUGCCUCCUUCUUCCUGUUUCCUUUCCCCUUG
This is a long non-coding RNA of Cyprinodon tularosa, 1006 nucleotides long. RefSeq lists it as uncharacterized. The transcript is spliced from 4 exons. The record is from RefSeq and is a predicted model, not a curated record. Lineage: Eukaryota; Metazoa; Chordata; Actinopteri; Cyprinodontiformes; Cyprinodontidae.